GAUUCAGGGCAGUGCUUGAGUCCAUGUCCGGAGAGAGACAAGCCAGGGCCUGUUCUAUGCUCCAAUCAUGAUGUGUUAGGACCCCCCGGGAGAGACAGGUUGACCUGUGCUCACCUUGGCACCCCACACCUGGAGCAGUCUCUGUGCUGGGAGCUGCUGGGUGCAGGAGGAAGAUGUCAUGGCAGAGCCCGUGGGGACCCCCAGCCUGGGAGCAUCAGCGGCAGUACCCUCUCCUUGCUGCCAGCCCCUUCCCAGCCUUCUUGUCCAGGGCCAUCACCCAGGGGACACCAGGGGCUUCAAGGCUCCAGGGGGCAAUGCUACCAAGGGAGUCAGGACAGCCGGGGCCUGGGGGGCCUGGAGCUUCUCCACCUAGAAACUGGCCAUCGCCAGCCCCAUGUUCCUCAGCUGGAGUUCAGGAGUCAUCACAGCGUCCCCACAGAGGGGCUCCAGGAACUCCCGCUGGAUGGGGUAGUGGGGCCCUGGGAACAUCCCACUCAAAGGUCCCAUAAUGAGAGGCCAGGGAAGCAGAACCCUGGCACCCCUGCAACUAAGUCUGCCUCUGUGAGUCUUCACGACAACCCCCCAAUAGUGCAGGCUUCAGGCCCCUCAAAAUCCAGGGCAGCAGGGCAUGGGGACCCCCCUGAACAGGUGCCAGGGUCAGAGAACCUGGGGCAGAAGCAGCCAUGUAAAGGUGGAGGCCAAAGAAGAAACAGGUGGAGGCCGAGGAGGAAACAGGUGGAGGCUGAGGAGGGGACAGGUGGAGGCCCAGGAGGGGACAGGUGGAGGCCAAGGAGGAGACAGGUGGAAGCCCAGGAGGAGACAGGUGGAGGCCCAGGGGGAAACAGGUGGAGGCCGAAGAGGAAACAGGUGGAGGCCGAGGAGGAAACAGGUGGAGGCCGAAGAGGAGACAGGUGGAGGCCCAGGAGGAGACAGGUGGAGGCCGAAGAGGAAACAGGUGGAGGCCGAGGAGGAAACAGGUGGAGGCCGAGGAGGAAACAGGUGGAGGCUGAGGAGGAAACAGGUGGAGGCCGAGAAGGAAACAGGUGGAGGAUGAGGGGGGAGGAGGAGGGGGUAUGGGGUCGCCCAGGGCAGCUCCUGAGCCACCCUUGCUGA
Molecule: long non-coding RNA, 1113 nt
Organism: Callithrix jacchus (white-tufted-ear marmoset)
Lineage: Eukaryota; Metazoa; Chordata; Mammalia; Primates; Cebidae
Source: Ensembl